Molecule: unclassified non-coding RNA, 220 nt
Filed under: Bombus terrestris (buff-tailed bumblebee)
Lineage: Eukaryota; Metazoa; Arthropoda; Insecta; Hymenoptera; Apidae
Description: misc RNA ENSBTSG00005022906.1
Source: RNAcentral
AUUGAGUUCGAUAACGACAAUGUUAAUUGUUUAUCGUUUGUGCAACGCUAUAAGGCGAUUCUUCUCGAAAAAUUGCAAGUGCCGAAACGACGCCUGUUUUUAUGAGAAAAUUCUCAAACUAAUAUGAUGCUCCUCGGACAGCUCUUCUCUGCCUUCUCUUUCGCUCUCCACUCGUCUCCCCCUAGAGAACAGCGUAAUAGGACUACGUGUGCUCGUAGUC